CGUGUGGUGGUCAGAUUACGGGUGUUCUCAAGAGCAUUUUAGUAGAACUGAUUAGCGACGCGGCCUAACUGAGGU
Molecule: regulatory RNA element, 75 nt
Organism: Vibrio sp. qd031
Lineage: Bacteria; Pseudomonadati; Pseudomonadota; Gammaproteobacteria; Vibrionales; Vibrionaceae
Rfam family: L31-Gammaproteobacteria ribosomal protein leader
Source: Rfam